AUGGAAAGUGUGUGUCUCGGGCCUCCAAUGAUCAAUAAGCGCGGUGAGUGCUGUAGCAUUGUUGGGUGGCGUCGACCGGCGGACCAACUGAAUGAAAGGGAGAAGUCCUGCCUCCCUUACAUACGGUGUGUACCGCUCAUCAUAGCACAUCCAUCCAAGGGUGACCCCGUGAGCCCGAAGCUUCAGAGGUGCAAGCUCCUACAAAAAAAACAUAACAUUACAUAUAGGGCAUUUGUGUUUGAAAAAAAAUACGAAUUCAUAACACCGGCCACUUUCAGUAUUACCUGCUGCUCCACCGACAUAGCGUACGACCGGUGUUGUUUGUCCCAAUGA
This 333-nucleotide ribosomal RNA is filed under the name Triticum aestivum (bread wheat). RNAcentral's name for it is "partial small subunit ribosomal RNA". The record is from RNAcentral. Lineage: Eukaryota; Viridiplantae; Streptophyta; Magnoliopsida; Poales; Poaceae.